Molecule: long non-coding RNA, 2038 nt
Organism: Homo sapiens (human)
Lineage: Eukaryota; Metazoa; Chordata; Mammalia; Primates; Hominidae
Gene: PARAIL
Product: palmitic acid regulated anti-inflammatory lncRNA
Source: Ensembl
CGGCUGGGGGCUUUAUUAGGGGGCACCGGGGUCUGCUUUCCGACUCCCUUCCGACUCCGCGCCUGCGCAGGAAGCGAUUUGGGGAGUGUUGUGAAUUCCGAGGGCUCCACACUUAAGAGGUUGUACACUCACCUGUCUACCUGGACUCCAAUUUCCAUAUUUCCAGCCACUUGAGGACUGAGAGGUGGAUGAUAAACCCUGUCAUAGUGGAGCAAGUUCAGGUGUUUAACCGCUGUUAUGGGGGAUCUGCCUUUUCUCCCUCUUCUUUCUUACUUCCAUAAGUAUGUAUGUGCAGAGAUUGAAAAAUAACCUUGAGAGAGUCCAUCCAUCUAACUCCAGUUCAUUGGAAAUUUCUGCUUCUUUGAGACUGAGGUUAUAUUCCACUUCUUCUGACUACACCACCACCAUCAAUCUCCUUCUCUGAACUCUUGGAUCAUUACUUCAACCUGAAACAACUCAUCAGGCAGAAUAGUUGCCUACUGCCCCAACCCCACCAAAUGUUCCAGCACCUCUGAUAUUACCUCACAUGGCAAGAGGGCUUUGAAGAUGUGAUUGAGUCAAGGAUCUUGAAUGGGGAGAUUAUCCUGAAUUAUUCAGCUGGACCCAGUGUAAUCACAAAGGUUUUUCAAAGAUGGAAGAGAGGCAGAAGAGCCAGAAAAGGAUAUGUGACAAUGGAGUCAGUGUCAGAGUUGGAGUGACGUGAUGUGAGAAGGAUUCAACCUGCUGUUUCUGGCUUUGAGGAUGAAAGAAGGGGCCAUGAGCCAAGCAAUACAGGUGGCUUCUUUCAAGAAGUUGGAAAAGUGGUAAUAUUUUAUGUUAUUUUGGUUUGAUUUUUGUUUGUGGCAUAUGGCUCUGCUGUCCUGUGACUCUAAGUAGAAGAGAAAAUAGUGCCAAUAAUUCUUCAUGGAGAUGCACCUCUCUCAAGUCUUGAACAAUGUUUGAGGAGGAAAGACCAAAAAAGGAUAAAACACACCAAAGUUUGUUCAAUCCAGCCAGUCCCCAGCAAAGCCCUAAAAUAAUGAAUUUAUUUUCUGGAAACAUUGCAGCGUUAUAAGAGAAAUUAUAGACUAUUUGUUGAAGCUCAGCAUGUCCAUCUCCCUGCUUUGAAGAAGGAUGUUGGGAACUGACUGUAAGGAAGACAGGAUUGGAGAACCAGGUUUAGAAGAGAAAAGGCAGUGCCAGAAGUUUUUGAUUGGAGAAAACUACAGGGUAAUGUUGCACAAGAACCAUUGCUGGACUGCAUCAUUGCUUACCCAACAUGACUCAGCCUCGGUAUUGCCACUGACUCACGGAGCUCCUAAUAGAGGAGAAUUAGUGUCACAGAUCGACUGGAAAACCAAUCCACAUGAAGCCAGGAAGAGAAAUGAAGCUGCUGUUGCUGAAUCCAUAGCUGGCCUUAAUGAUGCUGGCUAGGAAAGACGGCCCAUUCUGGGGGAGAUAAGUCAAUUUUGCAGUGUCUGUUAUUAUCAUAGUGACUAUUGUCUUCCUGUUUUAUAUUUAUUUACCUAAAUUGUUUUGGAAAGACUCAGAGGUAUAGAGACAUGCCUACUUUUUGCAAAAAUCAUCACACUGUCAUGGAGGUAGUCCAGGCUAUGGGGCUCUUAUUUGUUGGUGUCUUGGGCAAGUUGCUUGACCUCUGAUCAUUGUUUGCUUAUUCUUAUAUGGCCCCUGUAUUUCAGACUCACUCUGUGUCAGGCAUUUGUUUACCUUUGUAGCAAGCUCAGGAGGAAAAUACCAUUGCCCUUGUUUUACAGGUGAUGAAACUGUACGUUUUCCAAGGACACAGUGCUAGUAUGAAUGAAUAAUAAUGGGGUUGUCUAUGAAGAGGAGAGAAUGAAAAAGCUCAGCUUACCAAGAUGAAUGCUCCUCUGAUCUUGUCUUGAUGGGCUAAAGCCUUGAAGAUUGCUAUUGGGAAACUUGACCCAGUUGGCUGCCAAAGGACAACACAUCAGGCUGCAGAUCAUCAAACAGGGUUCUGAGCUGCAUCCCCUGGGGCAUCCCCUAGUGCACAAAACAAUAAAAAUCAAGGAGGACAGAU